RNA transcript from Varroa destructor (honeybee mite), 3821 nucleotides. It is a transcript of the gene named Glutamate-cysteine ligase modifier subunit, with no coding region annotated. Lineage: Eukaryota; Metazoa; Arthropoda; Arachnida; Mesostigmata; Varroidae. The record is from RefSeq and is a predicted model, not a curated record.
UUACGGUGGAGGCUGGACGACGGUCAGCGAUGGUUUAUCGUGGGGAUACGUGUGGUGAAUUGUAACCGCAUCUAUUCUAGCUGCCUGCCAUCGAGCUGUUAUGAUUGCUCUCUGGGAGCCUCUAUGGCAAAGUCACUGGUCGCUAGUGGCAGCAUCAAUAAAUCGCUAGUGACAGCAAAACAAGAGAAGAUGCAAUCAAAUAAGACCAUCCAAGCUACGGAGACUCUUCUUAUCAACACGGGAAACAUCAUCAAAUGCAAGCAGCUUACGAAGCAGCUUUUUGAUACACUGGCUGAUGAGAUGGUGGAGAGUAUCCGACACUGUCUAGCAUCUCUAGCGGAAAGUUCUGUCAACCAAAGCCCAGCGAAAUCGGUAGAGUAUACCCACGAGAAUCAUUCAUCGGUGGUAUCUGCUGAAGACGCAAAAAAUGUUCGAACUGUUGUGAAAGUUUUUCUAGCCCCUGGAGAUGACGACGCCCUUCGCCAGGCGGUUGAAAAAACUUUGUCCCAGUUGUGUCUACAACGAAUCGAUCUACUUCUGGUGGCCUUCGCCCACCCCACUGGCAGUCACAAGCUCGAACUGCAUCAUAUGCAGCCCACCUGGAGCGUAUGCGAAAGCCUUGUUUCACAGGGUGUAGUGGGCAGCGCGGGUGUUGCCGACCUUGACGUCACUCAGCUUCGCGACCUCUAUCAGUGGGCGUCGAAACGCGUCAAGCCGACAACGAAUCAACUGCACUUCGAAUCGGCCAUCGCCCUAUCCGCCGAGAUGACAGAGUUUGCCGCUGAAUAUAAUAUUCAACUCUUGACACACGCUGAUGAGAUAGGCACUGCAGGACCUGUUAACGUAAAAAGGAUGCUUGAUGGAUUCAAAGAUGAUGCUGACAAGUGGCAUUGCUCGUGGUUGACGCGAUACACGGUCACCUUCCGCUGUCGGGGCGUUCUCCACUCAAAGGGCUACAUCGCUAAAAUUGAACGUGACAUCAGCACGCAGAAGACGCGUGGUCCCCAAUGAACGAGAUAUAUCCGAAAAGCCUCCAAGGAAGCCGAAAUAAAUAUACUCUCCGUAAGGCAAAUUGAUAACAGGACUUGAUAGUUGUUGCGGGAACUGAAGCUAAGGUGGAUACGUCGAUACGAAAAUCCAACGGGGCAGAUGAGCGAACACUAGGUGAAACCGGGGAUCAUGUACAAUCUACAUCAUUUACUCUGCCACAAGCUUUCCACCCAGGAUUCCAGUGAGCUAUAAUAGAUCGCUGACGAUGCAUAUAUACGGACGUCCAAAAGAGGUUUAUGCCAAAACAACAAUUAUAUAAACAACAUGUAUUGUAUUUCAUAAAAUUCGCUUGUAUAAUUCGUAUUGCGCUCGUGUGGACAUACUGCCAUAGCCUGUUUAAUUAACAUUACAUACGUGAUUGUAACACAUACGCUGGGAGCUAGCUGGUGGAUGAUGUCGAACGCAUAACGUUACGCUAACAAGAAACCUUUAUUCAAAAAAGAUCGAUUUUCGCGCGAAAAACUUUACCCUACUUUAUCUAAAGGCAACGUUUUUUUUUUUCGGGUAGUUAGAACACAGCGCCACAUUUCGCCAAGGACCAAUAGGCUGGUUAAUCACAUGUAUGUAGCGUACGUUAGUCAUGUUAAAUACCAGUUAAAAACCUGUGUACAUUUUACUCUAUAUUUGACAUAAUAAGAAAAUAAUUGACACAAUCUGAUGAAAACAUAAGGAAAAAAUCAUCUCACUUAAGCAGAAUUUUCAUACAGCCAAUUAUCAUCGAUAGAAGCAGCGGUUUGUAGGUCCUUCUUCUACUAUUAUCUAUAGAUUUAGAUGUUCUAGACGACCUGAGAAUAAAUAAAGGACUAUAGACCAAACAGUUGGUUAUGAUGGUGGUGAAAUGAUACGAUAGUAGCAACUGUAUGAACCGAUAUCUAAAGUCAACAAAAGUUAUUCCUUGAGCAAAAAAUUAUUAGACACAUAUAGCAGAAAUGAAGAACGAGCUAGUGGACAAAACCACUUCAAUACAAUGAAUGCUUUGAUCGUGCUUCAUUUUUUCGGUAGAAAUGUCUAUUCCAUGUGUAGACUAUAUAUAUAUAUAUCAAGAAUCCUUUGUUAUUUAAGGAUUGGUCCCGUGGUACACUCUUCGCAUUUUAUUCCCUUUAGGUUGCAAAAAAGGUUCUACCUGAUUGCUUUAUACCGCUGAAUUACUAUAAAAAUAGUAGAAAUGGUAAGGCGAUGAAAGGUUACGACAAUUAUCGUUUGAUAUAAAUACUAGGAAUAUAUCUGAGCUGUCAGACUAUGAGAACAGGUUCACAGGAUUUGAUUAAAAGUAAAACAAGAAACUUGCGAGCUAAGUGGCAGCGUCCCUUUGAGCAGAAACUUACGUCGUUCAUAAAUUUACAUGUAUUACAACUUGAUCCGACUAAACGCUCAUCUAACUAAGCGUGACAAAUUUUAAUCAACGUAAAUGGACGCAGGAUAAUAUUGUGUUGGCAAUACGAAUGAACUAGAUCGUUUUUCUUUUUGUUAACCUGUGUUAAUUUCUUAAUUUUUUUUUUUUUUGUUUAUAUACGCAAUACUAGAUUUACGAAACUGUACGAGCAGGUAUUACAUACAAUAAUCAUUUUCAUCAAAGAGCAUUGCGAACGUUAUUGUUAAAUAAAUACAUUAUGUCGGCACUAACGAUAUGCGUACAGAUAUGAAACGUUAGAAAGCAGAGUCGAGCUAGACGGUGUUUGCGUGGAAAUAAAGCAAAACGGACCCGACGAAGAACAGACAAUAUGUUGAUUCAGCAAAGGAGAACAAGACGGGCCUUUGUGAUUUAUAACAGUUUCUGUUAAAUUUAUAUAUAUAUAUAUAUAUAUAUAUAUAUAUAUAUAUAUAUACUGCGUAGUACACCACUUUGAUUUGCGACUUAUCGCUGAAAUGUAGACACCGUAUGAAAUAUGCUAUUAUAAAUACUUCGUUAAAAAUAUUGGCAUAUUCCUAGAUAACAAUAAUCGUUGAUAGCGACUGCGCGAUCGGCCAGUUUCCUGAGACGAAACGAGUGAUAAAUGUGUAAAUACGAUGUCCUGAUUCCACGAUCCUUAACUCGAGAAAGAUAAGUAUUGCAGCUAUCGAAAAGCGUAUACAUACAAACAAUCAACUCAUUGAACGAGAUAGCGGACAGAAAGAUCGAUCUCUUUGUAGAGGUUUGCUGAGCACUUUACAGCGAGGCUUCACGUCACAGUGUUCGAAGUUUUCAUUAUUUAAAACAAGCAGGCUAUAGGUAGGCUCAAACCCAAACGAUACGUUUUUUGCCAAAGUAAAUCGACUGCUUCGUGCGUAUAGUACGUGCUCGAUGGCACAUGAAGAUCGCUUCGGGUUCUGUUCUCCAUGGUAAAGAUUAGCAUUCUAAAUCUUCCAAUCGGCUUCCUCGAAACAUUCCAGUCUCCAGUAUCCGCUCAAGAGAUAUGGCUAUGUAGGCGCAAGCAAAUAAGCAAAUGCCACCUUUGUACGACCUCCCUUACUAUGAACCUAUCACAUUGAUACGACUCCCUUUCUACGGGUAACUCUGCGAUAGGUAUUCGAAUCGGGAACUCGUACUUCUCAGUAUUUAUAGGUAGAUGAGGCUGCUCACAUUAGACCCUAGCAUCGUACCUUAGGAUUUAAUACGACACACCGUGCGCGCAUUAAACAGCAGUAGUGACAACAAAAAUUCAUUGUAACUUCGAGUUUAUUUAAAUUUAUUAAAUACGCAUAUACAAACAUAGAUACAGUAAUGACGUAUGAGUAAUCAUCGCAUCACUAUUAAAGCUCGUAAAAUAGACGAGGGGCAUAUAAAGGAAAAA